This 1337-nucleotide ribosomal RNA is filed under the name 'Datura stramonium' witches'-broom phytoplasma. RNAcentral describes it as "bacterial SSU rRNA". It matches the Rfam family "Bacterial small subunit ribosomal RNA", at positions 168 to 1498 of the family's 1533-position model. Lineage: Bacteria; Bacillati; Mycoplasmatota; Mollicutes; Acholeplasmatales; Acholeplasmataceae. The record is from RNAcentral.
ACUGGAUAGGAAACACAAAGGCAUCUUUUUGUUUUUAAAAGACCUUCUUACGAAGGUAUGCUUAAAGAGGGGCUUGCGCCACAUUAGUUAGUUGGUAGAGUAAAAGCCUACCAAGACGAUGAUGUGUAGCUGGACUGAGAGGUUGAACAGCCACAUUGGGACUGAGACACGGCCCAAACUCCUACGGGAGGCAGCAGUAGGGAAUUUUCGGCAAUGGAGGAAACUCUGACCGAGCAACGCCGCGUGAACGAUGAAGUAUUUCGGUAUGUAAAGUUCUUUUAUUGAAGAAGAAAAAGUAGUGGAAAAACUAUAUUGACGUUAUUCAAUGAAUAAGCCCCGGCUAACUAUGUGCCAGCAGCCGCGGUAAGACAUAGGGGGCGAGCGUUAUCCGGAAUUAUUGGGCGUAAAGGGUGCGUAGGCUGUUAGAUAAGUCUAUAAUUUAAUUUCAGUGCUUAACGCUGUCUUGUUAUAGAAACUGUCUUGACUAGAGUGAGAUAGAGGCAAGCGGAAUUCCAUGUGUAGCGGUAAAAUGUGUAAAUAUAUGGAGGAACACCAGAAGCGUAGGCGGCUUGCUGGGUCUUUACUGACGCUGAGGCACGAAAGCGUGGGUAGCAAACAGGAUUAGAUACCCUGGUAGUCCACGCCGUAAACGAUGAGUACUAAGUGUCGGGGUAAAACUCGGUACUGAAGUUAACACAUUAAGUACUCCGCCUGAGUAGUACGUACGCAAGUAUGAAACUUAAAGGAAUUGACGGGACUCCGCACAAGCGGUGGAUCAUGUUGUUUAAUUCGAAGAUACACGAAAAAUCUUACCAGGUCUUGACAUACUCUGCAAAGCUAUAGAAAUAUAGUGGAGGUUAUCAGGGAUACAGGUGGUGCAUGGUUGUCGUCAGUUCGUGUCGUGAGAUGUUAGGUUAAGUCCUAAAACGAACGCAACCCUUGUCGUUAAUUGCCAGCACAUAAUGGUGGGGACUUUAACGAGACUGCCAAUUAAACAUUGGAGGAAGGUGAGGAUUACGUCAAAUCAUCAUGCCCCUUAUGAUCUGGGCUACAAACGUGAUACAAUGGCUGUGACAAAGAGUAGCUGAAACGCGAGUUUUUAGCCAAUCUCAAAAAAGCAGUCUCAGUUCGGAUUGAAGUCUGUAACUCGACUUCAUGAAGUUGGAAUCGCUAGUAAUCGCGAAUCAGCAUGUCGCGGUGAAUACGUUCUCGGGGUUUGUACACACCGCCCGUCAAACCACGAAAGUUAGCAAUGCCCGAAAGCAGUAGCUUAACUUCGCAAGAAGAGGGAACUGUCUAAGGUAGGGUUGAUGAUUGGGGUAAGUCGUAACAAGACU